Molecule: long non-coding RNA, 1596 nt
Organism: Vulpes vulpes (red fox)
Lineage: Eukaryota; Metazoa; Chordata; Mammalia; Carnivora; Canidae
Source: Ensembl
GACGCGAUGUGGGGUGCGGGGCCUGAGUGUUAAAACCAAAACCAGCAAACACUGACUGGGAGAAGAAGUCAGCGGAUUCUCCGCAAGGAUGUAGAAGGGACUGCUGUUCCCACAUAUCCCUGCAGCUGUGGGUUUCCACGAAGAAGUGAUUGCUGGCUGGAGGAAGCACUCAGGUUUUUUUCACUUAUGUUUACCAGUACUGCAAAAACAAAACAAAAAACAACACAAAGAAAUAAUGUCUGGAUGAAGUCAAGUCAUAUGUUCUGUGGUCCUGGUAGCCCACAAGGAGUGAGGAAUCUGCCAGGUAUUUUCAGGAAGACCAAUGUGAACUUAAGGGAUUCAAAAGAAACAAGGUGGAGGGAACAGAGAAAAGGAUGGGACCAUUCCUCCAGAGAAGCAAUAGAAUUGGUCAGCAGCCCAGGAGAAGAUGCUGCCCCUUCCAGUCAUCAGAAAGACAACACACUUGUUGGGUGUGUAAAGACUAAAAAAAAGGGACAGUGGCUAGGCAGCACGGUGGUGGUGGUGGUGGAAGAGGCGAGUCGCAUUCCACUUUGCUAAUAAUAGGAGGGGACAUUUGGGACCUGAACUCACCAGUGACGUAGCCUCACGUGACCAGGAGCCUAUGUACUGAAGUCUUGGUCCAGACAGCGGUUCUGCUCAGGUAACCACCUCCCUGUUUCCUUGGAGGUGGCGUGAUUGUGGGCAAGGAUGGAGGAGGAGGACGAAGAGGAAACCAUUCCUGAUUCCUGUAUGUCGGUGUGAGGGUGGGUGUUGAUUGAAAACUCCUGGAGUGAGGGUGGAGGGUAGCAGCACAAUUGCUGAUUUGGAGGCACUUUUGUGUUUCCCUAUGCGGACACCGGAACCCAGCCUCUUUAUCAUGCCAAGUAAAAGGCGGGGCAGUACCAGCAGCAGAAGUGCUUGGCUUAGGUGACUUUAGAGACAAAGGGGAGGAAGUAGUUAUCAGGGAGCAGAGAGAUGGGGGCACCGUGAGGUGAGGGAUAGGUCUGACAGCUUGGAUCUGGAACAGAGAAAGGUCGGGGUUUGGACCCACAUUUGGGUGUUGGCGCAUCCACUGGAGCUUUAAAUCCCUAGCCUCCUGUUCAUGUCUGCUUUUGGCUUUGGUCUAUCCAUGUCUGCCAGUCUACCCCUUAGUGAUGGGAUGGGGAUGCAAAAGAAGGUCAAUGCCUCAUUUCUGUUUUUCCUCCUCCCCAAACACUCAGACCCCUUAGAUCCCACUUGACUGCUUUUUUAGAUUCCAGCCUCCAAAACGUUCUCAAUAGCCUGGGUGAAACCCCUGAUAUUUUUGAAGCAGCUGCAGUACGGGCCGUUCCCAGAAUUUGGGCUUUUUUUUUUUUUUUUUUUUUUUUUUUUGUUUUUGGUUGUUGGGGUAGAGGNNNNNNNAGAAUUUGGGCUUGAUGGCAGAGGGACUGGUGAUUGGGGCUGGCACCUGAUACUACAUCUACCAACUGAACUGUGAUGGAGAGCAGAACAAGAAGCAACCAACUGAUUCAAAAGACAUUAAUCCUGCCUACAAAAAGUUUAGAAAGUACAGAAAACUAGAAGGAAGAAAAUAAAAUAAGCCAUCAAUAAUUACCA